CUUCAAAUUCAACGAAUUCGGCUGCAAGGGUACCACCAGACGCAGCCAAAUGACCAAGAACCUUCGCAGAUAGUUCCAUCGAAUGCCAAUCCGUACUAGGAAGGGUCAUUCGUAAGUAAUUUGCAUACCGCGAAAGAUUAGUAACAUCUCCCUCACUUUCGAAUUCAAUUAGCUUGCCUAUCGCAAGGAUUCCUCCAAAUCUUUCGUGGGAAUCAUGGCUAUGAAUAAGCUCAAAAAUUCGACGAUUGAUAUCGUUAUUGAAACGCGCAAGGGAUUCACCUGAUAAUUCCUUAGUAGAACUAUGUACAAAUUCUUUUAAUUGAUCAGCGGCUGCUAGUUGAAUGCUUUCAUUUUUGUUUUUUAGAUCACUAAAAUACUCCAUGAAUCAAAGAGAGCGAGUGAAACGAUAGACUUUCUAAUAGUCGCGGUGUUCAAUUCUUCCACUUAGGCAUUCAUCACAAUGUCUACGGA
Non-coding RNA from Schizosaccharomyces pombe (fission yeast), 471 nucleotides. NCBI's taxonomy places the organism in Eukaryota, Fungi, Ascomycota, Schizosaccharomycetes, Schizosaccharomycetales, Schizosaccharomycetaceae. The record is from the annotation of a GenBank genome assembly.